RNAcentral lists this ribosomal RNA (253 nucleotides) under uncultured bacterium. RNAcentral describes it as "partial 16S ribosomal RNA". It matches the Rfam family "Bacterial small subunit ribosomal RNA", at positions 524 to 776 of the family's 1533-position model. The record is from RNAcentral.
UACGUAGGUGGCAAGCGUUAUCCGGAAUUACUGGGCGUAAAGCGCACGCAGGCGGUCUGUUAAGUUUGACGUGAAAGCUCCCGGCUUAACUGGGAGAGGUCGUUGAAGACUGGCAGGCUUGAGGCAAUGAGAGGGGUGUAGAAUUCCCGGUGUAGUGGUGGAAUGCGUAGAUAUCGGGGGGAAUACCAGUGGCGAAAGCGGCACCCUAGCGUUGUUCUGACGCUCAUGUGCGAAAGCGUGGGGAGCGAACGGG